AACGAACGCUGGCGGUAGGCUUAACACAUGCAAGUCGAGCGCCCCGCCAGGGGAGCGGCAGACGGGUGAGUAACGCGUGGGAACGUACCUUUUGGUUCGGAACAACUCCGGGAAACUGGAGCUAAUACCGGAUAAGCCCUAACGGGGAAAGAUUUAUCGCCGAAAGAUCGGCCCGCGUCUGAUUAGCUAGUUGGUGAGGUAACGGCUCACCAAGGCGACGAUCAGUAGCUGGUCUGAGAGGAUGAUCAGCCACACUGGGACUGAGACACGGCCCAGACUCCUACGGGAGGCAGCAGUGGGGAAUAUUGGACAAUGGGCGCAAGCCUGAUCCAGCCAUGCCGGGUGAGGGAUGAAGGCCUUAGGGUUGUAAAGCUCUUUUGUCCGGGAAGAUAAUGACUGUACCGGAAGAAUAAGCCCCGGCUAACUUCG
Molecule: ribosomal RNA, 429 nt
Filed under: uncultured bacterium
Lineage: Bacteria
Description: partial 16S ribosomal RNA
Rfam family: Bacterial small subunit ribosomal RNA
Source: RNAcentral